AUGGGCUUUCCUCGAUCUCUCUGGCCUUACCAUCAUUAAACGAAACCUAUAAACGUUGGAGCUGAUUCCUGAUGUCCGGAUUUGGGGCUCUAAAAAGCUAUACUAUUUGAGCAGUAAUCUGUCUGAUCAAUUCCCUUUGUUCAGUUGCUGUAACAUCUUGGGCUGUGUUGGAUUCUCUCCUUAACGUAGCCAAUGUUCUUGCAAUGGUUUCCUCUGUUGCUCUCAGUUUUGAGGCGACAUCGUUUUGUAUGGUAGUUCUAAGGUUCGCUACACCUUCCUGUAUGGCCGGCAUAGCGCCUGUCAACAUUGUGAUUGACUGGGACUGUUCCCUUAGUAUGGCAUUCAUCUCACUUACCUGGGCGUUGGGGUUGUUAAUGUGCUCCGUUAAGUUUGCUAUCCUCUGAUUACACAUUAUGACUUUUUUCUUUACCCUAUCCAUCAUAGCUGGAUAAACACAAAUUACGUUACGUUAAAUUACGUUACAAACACAAUAAUAUUUAAAGCUCGAAAAUGAUUUCGAUCUAUACACUCGUAUUUUGUACUAGGAAUCAGAACUGGAAAAAAAGCCAAACAUGAUACUGCACACAAAAUGAUGGUUCACAUGUUGGUUGGAACCCCGAAUGAUGUCCCCAGAGAAACACUCUCGAGCUACUGUGAAUGGCUGAAACAACUUGGAUUUCUGGACGACGAAUUUCACCAUCAGAACCAAUUCCUUCUCCACCAUCAGAACGAAGUCCUUCUCCGCCACCAGACCAUGUUUGGAUGGUACAGGAUUGGAUGAUGACAGUUGUUCCUCUCUACGAGUACUGCGGGAUGUUUGGUACCGACAAGGGGCAUACUUGGAGUUGCAGUAAUGGAGACCGUCUUACUUUUGAUAGGGUUUAUUUUUCUUUAAACAUUUUAUUAAAAACAUUGUUUGGUUAUGUGUUUUUUUAUCAGACCAUGGAAAGAAGAAGAAAAAGGCUAAACUAAGCAUUGCUACAGCGAAAAUGUCCCAGAUCCUCAAAGCGGAACCUCAUUAUCAUUAUUAUUGAGUUCACGUCGGUUCCCGUUUGUAGGAUAUUGCACAUUAAUAUGCAAUACCUUUCUCUCCUCCGUCCACUGUGUACAUUGUGCAAUCUAGCAAUAAUGUUUCUAUCUGACAAGCACCGUUGUCUGCUAUCUUUUCUUUCCA
Molecule: long non-coding RNA, 1174 nt
Organism: Daphnia pulicaria
Lineage: Eukaryota; Metazoa; Arthropoda; Branchiopoda; Diplostraca; Daphniidae
Exons: 3
Source: RefSeq, a predicted model, not a curated record